RNAcentral lists this ribosomal RNA (435 nucleotides) under uncultured bacterium. RNAcentral describes it as "partial 16S ribosomal RNA". It matches the Rfam family "Bacterial small subunit ribosomal RNA", at positions 29 to 507 of the family's 1533-position model. The record is from RNAcentral.
AGCGAACGCUGGCGGCAGGCUUAACACAUGCAAGUCGAACGGGCUUCUUCGGAAGUCAGUGGCAGACGGGUGGGUAACGCGUGGGAACGUGCCCUUCGGUUCGGAAUAACUCAGGGAAACUUGAGCUAAUACCGGAUACGCCCUUUUGGGGAAAGGUUUACUGCCGAAGGAUCGACCCGCGUCUGAUUAGAUUGUUGGUGGGGUAACGGCAUACCAAGGCGCCGAUGAGUAGCUGGGCUGAGAGGAAGAUCAACGACACUGGGACUGAGACACGGCCCAGAAUCCUACGGGAGGGAGCAGUGGAGAAUAUUGGACAAUGGGCGCAAGCCUGAACCAGCCAUGCCGCGUGAGUGAUGAAGGCCUUAGGGUUGUAAAGCUCUUUUGUCCGGGACGAUAAUGACGGUACCGGAAGAAUAAGCCCCGGCUAACUACGUG